GACAGAGGGUGCAAACGUUGCUCGGAAUCACUGGGCGUAAAGGGCGUGUAGGCGGGAAUGUAAGUCGGGCGUGAAAUCCCUAGGCUCAACCUAGGAACUGCACUCGAAACUGCGUUUCUUGAGUAUCGGAGAGGAAAGCGGAAUACCUGGUGUAGAGGUGAAAUUCGUAGAUAUCAGGUGGAACACCAGUGGCGAAGGCGGCUUUCUGGACGAUAACUGACGCUGAGACGCGAAAGCGUAAGGAGCAAACAGG
This 253-nucleotide ribosomal RNA is filed under the name uncultured bacterium. RNAcentral's name for it is "partial 16S ribosomal RNA". It matches the Rfam family "Bacterial small subunit ribosomal RNA", at positions 524 to 776 of the family's 1533-position model. The record is from RNAcentral.